Thalassophryne amazonica is the source of this 340-nucleotide long non-coding RNA. RefSeq lists it as uncharacterized. The transcript has 3 exons. The record is from RefSeq and is a predicted model, not a curated record. Lineage: Eukaryota; Metazoa; Chordata; Actinopteri; Batrachoidiformes; Batrachoididae.
UUAGUUAUUGGAUCACAGUAUGUAACAAAUUUUCACUUUUGUCUUGUUCCUGGGUUAAAACCAUAAUUUCCCAUUCUUCACAACCAAUCAAAAGAGAAAAGAGUGGUCUUGACCUCUAAACCUUGGUUUUGUGGUCAGGACAAUGAAAUUGCAAAUUAACCAGUUUUUGCAUUCACUGAGUGGUCACAACUAAUUUGUGGAAACGUUAAGUCGUUGUGGUCAUCAUAUUUUUUUGUGAUCAUGUCAAAAGGGUUCAAACAUCAUUUCAAGCAUAAUACAAUGUUGACAAAGCAAUUAUAUUGAUCAAAACCUUCAUUUGUACAGAUUGAGCAAGAACUUU